Molecule: small RNA, 161 nt
Filed under: Catenovulum maritimum
Lineage: Bacteria; Pseudomonadati; Pseudomonadota; Gammaproteobacteria; Alteromonadales; Alteromonadaceae
Also listed under: 1 other name
Description: Guanidine-I riboswitch aptamer
Rfam family: Guanidine-I riboswitch aptamer
About the family: This family represents a conserved RNA structure found upstream of the ykkC and yxkD genes in Bacillus subtilis and related genes in other bacteria. The function of this family is unclear although it has been suggested that it may function to switch on efflux pumps and detoxification systems in response to harmful environmental molecules.
Source: Rfam by way of RNAcentral
UAAACAGAUAACUAGGGUUCCGGUUGAUUUAUCAUAAUGAAUCAAUGUCUGGUCCGAGAGUUUUCAACCUAGCCGCAUAAUGACCAAUCACAACGUUAGUGUUUGUGUUCUUAUGUUUGCGUUAGCAAAGGGUUACACGGCGGGAUAAAAGCCCGGGAGGU